GCUCAGGAUGAACGCUGGCGGCGUGCUUAACACAUGCAAGUCGAACGAAGCACUUUGACAUUUUCGGAUUGAUGAGUGACUGAGUGGCGGACGGGUGAGUAACGCGUGGGUAACCUGCCUCAUACAGGGGGAUAACAGUUAGAAAUGACUGCUAAUACCGCAUAAGCGCACGGAACCGCAUGGUUCAGUGUGAAAAACUCCGGUGGUAUGAGAUGGACCCGCGUCUGAUUAGCUAGUUGGUGGGGUAACGGCCUACCAAGGCGACGAUCAGUAGCCGACCUGAGAGGGUGACCGGCCACAUUGGGACUGAGACACGGCCCAAACUCCUACGGGAGGCAGCAGUGGGGAAUAUUGCACAAUGGGCGAAAGCCUGAUGCAGCGACGCCGCGUGAACGAAGAAGUAUUUCGGUAUGUAAAGUUCUAUCAGCAGGGAAGAAAAUGACGGUACCUGACUAAGAAGCACCGGCUAAAUACGUGCCAGCAGCCGCGGUAAUACGUAUGGUGCAAGCGUUAUCCGGAUUUACUGGGUGUAAAGGGCGUGUAGGCGGAGAUGCAAGUCAGGAGUGAAAUCCAUGGGCUCAACCCAUGAACUGCUCUUGAAACUGUAUCCCUUGAGUAUCGGAGAGGCAAGCGGAAUUCCUAGUGUAGCGGUGAAAUGCGUAGAUAUCAGGAGGAACACCAGUGGCGAAGGCGGCUUGCUGGACGACAACUGACGCUGAGGCGCGAAAGCGUGGGGAGCAAACAGGAUUAGAUACCCUGGUAGUCCACGCUGUAAACGAUGAAUACUAGGUGUGGGAGGACUGACCCCUUCCGUGCCGCAGUUAACACAAUAAGUAUUCCACCUGGGGAGUACGACCGCAAGGUUGAAACUCAAAGGAAUUGACGGGGGCCCGCACAAGCAGUGGAUUAUGUGGUUUAAUUCGACGCAACGCGAAGAACCUUACCAGGAUUUGACAUCCAACUAACGAAGUAGAGAUACAUUAGGUGCCCUUCGGGGAAAGUUGAGACAGGUGGUGCAUGGUUGUCGUCAGCUCGUGUCGUGAGAUGUUGGGUUAAGUCCCGCAACGAGCGCAACCCCUAUUGUUAGUUGCUACGCAAGAGCACUCUAGCGAGACUGCCGUUGACAAAACGGAGGAAGGCGGGGACGACGUCAAAUCAUCAUGCCCCUUAUGUCCUGGGCUACACACGUAAUACAAUGGCCGUCAACAAAGGGAAGCAAAGCCGCGAGGUGGAGCAAACCCCCAAAAACGGUCUCAGUUCGGAUUGCAGGCUGCAACUCGCCUGCAUGAAGCUGGAAUUACUAGUAAUCGUGGAUCAGCAUGCCGCGGUGAA
This 1332-nucleotide ribosomal RNA is filed under the name uncultured bacterium. RNAcentral's name for it is "bacterial SSU rRNA". It matches the Rfam family "Bacterial small subunit ribosomal RNA", at positions 22 to 1366 of the family's 1533-position model. The record is from RNAcentral.